This 774-nucleotide ribosomal RNA is filed under the name uncultured Neocallimastigales. RNAcentral's name for it is "partial large subunit ribosomal RNA". It matches the Rfam family "Eukaryotic large subunit ribosomal RNA", at positions 26 to 628 of the family's 3401-position model. Lineage: Eukaryota; Fungi; Neocallimastigomycota; Neocallimastigomycetes; Neocallimastigales. The record is from RNAcentral.
CGCAUCUGUGCAUGCAGCAUAUCAAUAAGCGGAGGAAAAGAAACUAACAAGGAUUCCCCUAGUAACGGCGAGUGAAGCGGGAAGAGCUCAAAUUUGAAAUCUUAAAGGGUUUCCCUUUACGAUUUGUAGUUUAAAGAAGUGUUUUCUGUUGAGGUUUUGGUAAAAGUUCUUUGGAAUAGGACAUCAUAGAGGGUGAGAAUCCCGUAUUUGACCUUUACUUUCAACUUUGUGAUACACUUUCAAAGAGUCGGAUUGUUUGGGAAUGCGGUCCAAAAUGGGUGGUAAAUUUCAUCUAAAGCUAAAUAUUGGCGAGAGACCGAUAGCGAACAAGUACCGUAAGGGAAAGAUGAAAAGAACUUUGAAAAGAGAGUUAAACAGUACGUGAAAUUGUCAAAAGGGAAGCGUUUGACACCAGUGUUGUUUUUCUGAAAAUCAAUUAAAGAACUGUUUAUGCUAAGUUGUUUAGACUUUAUCAGCUAUCUGUUUAGUUUUGAGCUUUUCUUUAAUGCACUUUUCAGUUAACAAGUCAACAUCAAUUUCUUUUGCUGUAAAAAAGCUUGAGGAAGGUGGCUUGAGAUUCGUCUUAAGUGUUUAUAGCCUCCUGCCUAUGCAGUCGGAGAGAUUGAGGUCUGCAGCGUAGAUCCUUCGGGGCUAAAUGCAUUUGUGCUAAGUUAUAGCAUUUUAUAGACAACUUGUUGACUAUGAUUUGUCUUGUAGCUUACUCGCUCAUGUUAUUUUACCUACGCUUAGGAUGUUGAGUCGUAGAGCACGCAG